GAUGAACGCUGGCGGCGUGCCUAAUACAUGCAAGUCGAGCGAACGGACGAGAAGCUUGCUUCUCUGAUGUUAGCGGCGGACGGGUGAGUAACACGUGGAUAACCUACCUAUAAGACUGGGAUAACUUCGGGAAACCGGAGCUAAUACCGGAUAAUAUUUUGAACCGCAUGGUUCAAAAGUGAAAGACGGUCUUGCUGUCACUUAUAGGUGGAUCCGCGCUGCAUUAGCUAGUUGGUAAGGUAACGGCUUACCAAGGCAACGAUGCAUAGCCGACCUGAGAGGGUGAUCGGCCACACUGGAACUGAGACACGGUCCAGACUCCUACGGGAGGCAGCAGUAGGGAAUCUUCCGCAAUGGGCAAAAGCCUGACGGAGCAACGCCGCGUGAGUGAUGAAGGUCUUCGGAUCGUAAAACUCUGUUAUUAGGGAAGAACAUAUGUGUAAGUAACUGUGCACAUCUUGACGGUACCUAAUCAGAAAGCCACGGCUAACUACGUG
RNAcentral lists this ribosomal RNA (497 nucleotides) under uncultured bacterium. RNAcentral's name for it is "partial 16S ribosomal RNA". It matches the Rfam family "Bacterial small subunit ribosomal RNA", at positions 28 to 507 of the family's 1533-position model. The record is from RNAcentral.